Non-coding RNA from Glossina fuscipes fuscipes, 96 nucleotides. The record is from Rfam. Lineage: Eukaryota; Metazoa; Arthropoda; Insecta; Diptera; Glossinidae.
GUGUAGAUUGAAAGGAGAGCAAGUUAGCACUCCCCAUAGACAAGGAUGGAAUCACAUACAAAUAAUUCACAUAAACAAAAACAAGUAAAUAUAUUC